This 368-nucleotide transfer RNA is filed under the name uncultured Microcystis sp. RNAcentral describes it as "partial 16S-23S ribosomal RNA intergenic spacer". The stretch from base 134 to 207 matches the Rfam family "tRNA". Lineage: Bacteria; Bacillati; Cyanobacteriota; Cyanophyceae; Chroococcales; Microcystaceae. The record is from RNAcentral.
AAAGGGAGACCUAAUUCAGGUAUGGGACGAAAAAAAAGUAGUCGCUACCAAGAAUCAAUCCCAAAAGGUCGGAGCGAGGCAUGAGGCUUUCAAACUAGGUUCUGGGUUCACACAAGACCUGAAUCAGGAACAAGGGCUAUUAGCUCAGGUGGUUAGAGCGCACCCCUGAUAAGGGUGAGGUCCCUGGUUCGAGUCCAGGAUGGCCCACCUGCACAGGUGGCAAAAACAAGAGAAGCGAGGAAUCAGCACCUUAUCUUAUCUAUAUAUAAAUACAAGUAAGAGAGAAUGCUGGCUCUGAGUAAAGAGUCCAGAGGAACCUUGAAAACUGCAUAGAGCUAGGUGAAAAAGCCAAAAAAGAAGACCGCAAG